This 348-nucleotide unclassified non-coding RNA is filed under the name Hevea brasiliensis (rubber tree). Lineage: Eukaryota; Viridiplantae; Streptophyta; Magnoliopsida; Malpighiales; Euphorbiaceae. The record is from RNAcentral.
GUGGAAAUGUGGAGAAUAUCAUCUGACCUUUACGAAUAACCCGUAGUCCACAAUCCCCAACACUAGCUAUCUUCAAAAUUCCGUUCUCGAAUACAGAAACAAUUACCGUAGCUGAACCAAUAGAUGAUGUAGCAGCAUGGGCUCCCUUUAUGAGAAUCCGAGGAUCAUCAUUGACCUCCACAUUCCCCACCAAAGAAGAAACGUUAGCCACCAAUUCUCUGGAGAACAGUGCAGGAUCCACAUUCUUUUCAGCCCAACCAGAAACACCAUCAGCAACAACAAUCACUCCUCCAUUAUCACUGCUCACAAAGAAUGCAUCUUCUCCACCUUUCUCAACCUUGUUGGGAU